AUUCCUGUAUUUCAGUCAGUAGAACAUGGCACUAGCAAUGCCAAGCUCAUGGGUUUGAAUCCCACAUAAAUG
Danionella cerebrum is the source of this 72-nucleotide non-coding RNA. The record is from the annotation of a GenBank genome assembly. NCBI's taxonomy places the organism in Eukaryota, Metazoa, Chordata, Actinopteri, Cypriniformes, Danionidae.